Molecule: small nuclear RNA, 128 nt
Filed under: Neogale vison (American mink)
Lineage: Eukaryota; Metazoa; Chordata; Mammalia; Carnivora; Mustelidae
Description: Neovison vison (American mink) U4 spliceosomal RNA (ENSNVIG00000022115.1)
Rfam family: U4 spliceosomal RNA
About the family: U4 small nuclear RNA (U4 snRNA) is a component of the major U2-dependent spliceosome.
Source: Rfam by way of RNAcentral
AGCUUUGCGCAGUGGCAGUAUCGUAGCCAAUGAGGUUUAUCCGAGGCGCGAUUAUUGCUAAUUGAAAAAGUGCUUUAUAGCUCUGUUGACUAAAAGGGCUUAGAAAUAAUAGUAGUAGUAAACAUACC